GACCGUGUCGAAGGUAGCAUAGUCAUUAGUCUUUUAAUUGAAGACUGGAAUGAAAGGCUGGACAAAAAGUAAGCUCUCUCAGUUUAAAUAUGAAACUUGACUUUUAAGUGAAAAGGCUUAAAUAUCUCUUAGGGACGAUAAGACCCUAUAAAACUUUACAUGAUAUAAAUAAAUUUUUAUUUGUUUGUGAAAGAAGAUUUAUUUUUAUUUUGUUUCAUUGGGGUGAUGAAAGCAUAAAUUUAACUGCUUAAUUUUUAUACAAAAAUCUUUGAAAAGUGUGAUCCUAGUUGAAGAAUCAAGAAAAAGUUACUUUAGGGAUAACAGCGUGAUUUUUUUUGAGAGUUCUUAUCGACAAAAAAGUUUGCGACCUCGAUGUUGAAUUAAAAUAGCCCUAUAGUGUAGCAGUUAUAGGGGCAGGUCUGUUCUGACCUU
RNAcentral lists this ribosomal RNA (432 nucleotides) under Calaxius manningi. Its description in RNAcentral is "partial 16S small subunit ribosomal RNA". It matches the Rfam family "Bacterial large subunit ribosomal RNA", at positions 1943 to 2588 of the family's 2925-position model. The record is from RNAcentral. Lineage: Eukaryota; Metazoa; Arthropoda; Malacostraca; Decapoda; Axiidae.